Molecule: long non-coding RNA, 1638 nt
Filed under: Citrus sinensis (sweet orange)
Lineage: Eukaryota; Viridiplantae; Streptophyta; Magnoliopsida; Sapindales; Rutaceae
Description: long non-coding RNA (CSIN_LNC000470)
Source: RNAcentral
GCCUGGAUAUAGCCCUACCUCACCAACUUAUAGUCCAAGUUCUCCUGGUUAUAGUCCAACCAGUCCUGCCUAUUCUCCUACCAGUCCAUCGUACUCACCUACUUCACCAAGCUAUAGCCCAACCUCCCCAAGUUACAGCCCAACAUCCCCAAGCUACAGCCCGACCUCUCCAAGUUACAGCCCCACUUCUCCCAGUUACAGUCCAACUUCACCAAGCUAUAGCCCCACCUCACCGGCAUAUAGCCCCACCUCACCUGCAUAUAGCCCCACCUCACCUGCAUACAGCCCCACUUCACCAUCGUACAGCCCAACCUCUCCUUCCUACAGCCCAACAUCACCUUCGUACAGCCCUACCUCACCGUCAUACAGCCCCACUUCUCCAUCGUACAGCCCCACUUCACCAGCCUAUAGCCCCACUUCUCCUGGUUAUAGUCCAACUUCACCAAGUUAUAGCCCAACUUCACCAACCUAUAGUCCUACAUCCCCAAGCUACAAUCCUCAGUCUGCCAAAUACAGUCCGUCGCUGGCCUACUCACCAAGUAGUCCAAGAUUAUCUCCUGCCAGUCCGUACAGCCCUACAUCUCCAAAUUACAGGUAAGCCAUAGUGCGAUAUGUGGUCAAGUCUAAUGUUUGUGUUAAAAGCUGUAUCCAAUUUAUUAGGUCUUGUUUUUGAUAGAAUUCUAUAUACUGAAAUAUCUGUUGAACCUAAGACUUGCUGUAGCUGGGGAUUGGACUUGGAUGGGUUUAAAUUAUUAAUGAUUUUAUCUCUGUUGUUUUUAACAUUAUUAUAUCUGGAUGAUUAUGUUGAUGUAUCUUGUAAGCAACUUUUCUUUUUACGCAGUCCAACAUCAUCUUCGUAUUCACCGACAUCUCCCUCUAUGAUACUGGACCAAUGAUGAGAUGUUCAUUUGAAGAAACGGUUGACAUUCUUCUUGAUGCUGCAGUCUUUGCAGAAUCAGAUUAUUUGAGGGGGGUCACUGAGAAUAUAAUGUUAGGUCAGCUUGCGCCUAUUGGGACAGGAGACUGUUCAUUGUAUCUCAAUGAUGAGAUGCUGAAAAAUGCCAUCGAACUUCAGCUUCCUAGUUAUAUGGAAGGUCUGGAGUUUGGCAUGACACCUGCUCGUUCUCCGGUGUCUGGGACUCCUUAUCAUGAUGGCAUGAUGUCUCCAGGUUACUUGUUUAGCCCAAAUCUCCGUCUGUCCCCGGUCACGGAUGCCCAGUUUUCUCCUUAUGUUGGUGGAAUGGCCUUCUCUCCUACUUCAUCACCCGGAUACAGCCCAUCAUCACCAGGCUACAGUCCGUCAUCUCCUGGAUACAGUCCCACGUCACCUGGAUACAGCCCAACUUCGCCUGGAUACAGUCCCACCUCGCCUGGAUAUAGCCCUACCUCACCAACUUAUAGUCCAAGUUCUCCUGGUUAUAGUCCAACCAGUCCUGCCUAUUCUCCUACCAGUCCAUCGUACUCACCUACUUCACCAAGCUAUAGCCCAACCUCCCCAAGUUACAGCCCAACAUCCCCAAGCUACAGCCCGACCUCUCCAAGUUACAGCCCCACUUCUCCCAGUUACAGUCCAACUUCACCAAGCUAUAGCCCCACCUCACCGGCAUAUAGCCCCACCUCACCUGCAUAUAGCCCCAC